Molecule: ribosomal RNA, 219 nt
Filed under: Escherichia coli
Lineage: Bacteria; Pseudomonadati; Pseudomonadota; Gammaproteobacteria; Enterobacterales; Enterobacteriaceae
Also listed under: 1 other name
Description: partial 23S ribosomal RNA
Rfam family: Bacterial large subunit ribosomal RNA
Source: RNAcentral
GGUUAAGCGACUAAGCGUACACGGUGGAUGCCCUGGCAGUCAGAGGCGAUGAAGGACGUGCUAAUCUGCGAUAAGCGUCGGUAAGGUGAUAUGAACCGUUAUAACCGGCGAUUUCCGAAUGGGGAAACCCAGUGUGUUUCGACACACUAUCAUUAACUGAAUCCAUAGGUUAAUGAGGCGAACCGGGGGAACUGAAACAUCUAAGUACCCCGAGGAAAA